ACGGAAGGCAGCAGUGGGGAAUAUUGCACAAUGGGGGAAACCCUGAUGCAGCAACGCCGCGUGCGGGAAGAAGGUCUUCGGAUUGUAAACUUCUUUUACGAGGGACGAAGGACGUGACGGUACCUCAUGAAUAAGCCACGGCUAACUACGUGCCAGCAGCCGCGGUAAUACGUAGGUGGCAAGCGUUAUCCGGAUUUACUGGGUGUAAAGGGCGCGUAGGCGGGGAUGCAAGUCAGAUGUGAAAUCUAUGGGCUUAACUCAUAAACUGCAUUUGAAAUUGUAUCUCUUGAGUGCUGGAGAGGUAGAUGGAAUUCCUUGUGUAGCGGUGAAAUGCGUAGAUAUAAGGAAGAACACCAGUGGCGAAGGCGAUCUACUGGACAGUAACUGACGCUGAGGCGCGAAAGCGUGGGGAGCAAACAGGAUUAGAUACCCUGGUA
Molecule: ribosomal RNA, 437 nt
Filed under: uncultured Oscillospiraceae bacterium
Lineage: Bacteria; Bacillati; Bacillota; Clostridia; Eubacteriales; Oscillospiraceae
Description: bacterial SSU rRNA
Rfam family: Bacterial small subunit ribosomal RNA
Source: RNAcentral